UGUAUGGAUAUCCAAGCACAACAUACCAUCUAUAGCUAGCAUCUUAAAUUUCUAAUUUUGUUUCAUUGUUCUUCAAAUCAUUCAAAAGAACAUUAUGGUGUCUAAAGUAGAAGAAGCAAUGAAGAAGAACAAGCAACAACAAUCACAACAACACAAUCAACAACAACAAAAACAAAUUCAAUGCAACAAAGGAAAAGCUGGAAAGUUCAAAAGGAGUAGUUCCAAUGUGGAAGAGGAUGGUCUUUCUUCUGCAAUUCUUUUUCUAGCUUGCAUAGCUUGUGCUCCUUCCUAUGGAUAGCACUCACAAUUCAAUAAUGCAUUCCUUAAUUAAUUAUCAUUUCCUAGCUCAUCUUCAUCUCUUAUCUUCUUCACACCUCUCAUUAAUUAGAAAAUUAGAUUAAUUACAUUCAAUUAUCUCUUUGGUUUUUUUUUUUUUUUCAGCACUUAAUUAUCUCUCGAAUUUGCAUCUUGUCUAUAAACUAUGGUCUUAGAAAUUAUAGUAUAGCCUUUAAAGUUUAAACAAUAUAUAGUUUCAUGUCAUUAUUAUUAUUAUUUCUUAGUAAGUGUACCCUUAAUAAUUCAGUAUUAAUUGUAAUUCAUUUGUGCAACAUCUCUAUUUCAGGUAUUGUAUAAUUUUUUUCCACCACAGCAAAUAUAUAGUUUGUGAUAUUAUUUUUAUAAGCAAAUAUUUAUUGAAAAGAGAGCAAAGGGUACUCAAAUUUGAUUACAAGAGGAAAAUCAAGCAUACUCUAAACAUGAAAUAUGAUUGUUCCACCAGUCUAAAAACAAGUUACUCUUCUCCUUCCCUCUCUUACUAAUAAGCCAAAGUUAAGAAAUCUUCUUGAUUAUGUCAGCAAGCAAAUUAUACCUCCUUUUGUUUUUGAGUCUUGUUGGUUUAUUUUAGUCUCU
This 909-nucleotide long non-coding RNA is filed under the name Medicago truncatula (barrel medic). Its description in RNAcentral is "long non-coding RNA (MTRU_LNC002363)". Lineage: Eukaryota; Viridiplantae; Streptophyta; Magnoliopsida; Fabales; Fabaceae. The record is from RNAcentral.